GAUGAACGCUGGCGGCGUGCCUAAUACAUGCAAGUCGAGCGAACGGACGAGAAGCUUGCUUCUCUGAUGUUAGCGGCGGACGGGUGAGUAACACGUGGAUAACCUACCUAUAAGACUGGGAUAACUUCGGGAAACCGGAGCUAAUACCGGAUAAUAUUUUGAACCGCAUGGUUCAAAAGUGAAAGACGGUCUUGCUGUCACUUAUAGAUGGAUCCGCGCUGCAUUAGCUAGUUGGUAAGGUAACGGCUUACCAAGGCAACGAUGCAUAGCCGACCCGAGAGGGUGAUCGGCCACACUGGAACUGAGACACGGUCCAGACUCCUACGGGAGGCAGCAGUAGGGAACCUUCCGCAAUGGGCGAAAGCCUGACGGAGCAACGCCGCGUGAGUGAUGAAGGUCUUCGGAUCGUAAAACUCUGUUAUUAGGGAAGAACAUAUGUGUAAGUAACUGUGCACAUCUUGACGGUACCUAAUCAGAAAGCCACGGCUAACUACGUG
Molecule: ribosomal RNA, 497 nt
Filed under: uncultured bacterium
Lineage: Bacteria
Description: partial 16S ribosomal RNA
Rfam family: Bacterial small subunit ribosomal RNA
Source: RNAcentral